UGCUCUGGUGGCCUAAUGGUUAGAGUUUCUGCCUCAGAAGCAGGAGAUCAUGGGAUCAAACCCUGGCAGAGUCA
This is a non-coding RNA of Potamilus streckersoni, 74 nucleotides long. Lineage: Eukaryota; Metazoa; Mollusca; Bivalvia; Unionida; Unionidae. The record is from the annotation of a GenBank genome assembly.